Molecule: transfer RNA, 19 nt
Filed under: Salvelinus alpinus oquassa
Lineage: Eukaryota; Metazoa; Chordata; Actinopteri; Salmoniformes; Salmonidae
Description: partial tRNA-Thr
Source: RNAcentral
UAAAACCCUCCCUAGUGCU